Molecule: transfer RNA, 114 nt
Filed under: Lachnospiraceae bacterium
Lineage: Bacteria; Bacillati; Bacillota; Clostridia; Lachnospirales; Lachnospiraceae
Description: tRNA-Gly
Rfam family: tRNA
About the family: Transfer RNA (tRNA) molecules are approximately 80 nucleotides in length. Their secondary structure includes four short double-helical elements and three loops (D, anti-codon, and T loops).
Source: RNAcentral
AGCAGGGUAGCUCAGCAGGUAGAGCACAGAAAAAACGGAUCAUAAACCGUGAUCCUGACAGCAAGGCUUUCCAUUCCGAGGCUGGUGUCGCCGGUUCGAAUCCGGCCCCUGCAA